CCUACGGGGGGCAGCAGGCGCGAAAACUUCACACUGCAGGAAACUGUGAUGAGGGAACUCCAAGUGUGUGCACUAAGUGUACACUUUUCUUGACUUUUAAUCGGUCAUGGAAUAAGGGCUGGGAAAGACCGGUGCCAGCCGCCGCGGUAAUACCGGCAGCUCAAGUGGUCGUCGCUUUUAUUGGGCCUAAAACGUCCGUAGCCUGUUUGGUAAAUCUGUGGGUAAAUCAACCCGCUCAACGGGUUGAAUUCUGCAGAGACUGCCAGACUAGGGACCGGGAGAGGUGUGGGGUACUCGAGGGGUAGGGGUAAAAUCCUGUCAUCCUUCGAGGACCACCAGUUGCGAAGGCGCCACACUGGAACGGAUCCGACGGUCAGGGACGAAGCCUAGGGGCACGAACCGGAUUAGAUACCCGGGUAGUCCUAGGUGUAAACGCUGUGAACUUGGUGUCGGGGUUCCGUAAGGGGUCCCCGGUGCCGGAGUGAAGAUGUUAAGUUCACUGCCUGGGGAGUACGGUCGCAAGGCUGAAACUUAAAGGAAUUGGCGGGGGAGCACUGCAACGGGAGGAGCGUGCGGUUUAAUUGGAUUCAACGCCGGAAAACUCACCAGGGCCGACUGUUAGAUGAAGACCAGUGUAACGAGCUUGUCGGAUUUUCAGAGAGGUGGUGCAUGGCCGUCGUCAGUUCGUACUGUAAAGCGUUCUGUUAAGUCAGAUAACGAACGAGACCCUCAUCUCUAUUUGCAACCUGUCUCUCCGGAGGCGGCGCACUAUAGAGAGACCGCUGGUGUGAAACCAGAGGAAGGCGAGGGCAACGACAGGUCAGUAUGCCCCGAAUGUCCUGGGCUACACGCGCGCUACAAAGGACGGGACAAUGGGAAGCUAGGCCGAGAGGUCACGCUAACCCGAAACCCGUUCAUAGUUCGGAUCGAGGGCUGUAACUCGCCCUCGUGAAGCUGGAUUCCGUAGUAAUCGUGUUUCAAUAUAGCACGGUGAAUAUGCCCCUGCUCCUUGCACACACCGCCCGUC
Molecule: ribosomal RNA, 1027 nt
Filed under: uncultured euryarchaeote
Lineage: Archaea; Methanobacteriati; Methanobacteriota
Description: bacterial SSU rRNA
Rfam family: Archaeal small subunit ribosomal RNA
Source: RNAcentral